CCUGCAGGGGCCGACGCGUGGGCCGCCUGGCACGCCGUCCACGCCCGGGGGAGAAGGAAGCCCCGGGGUGGCUCUCGGAGGAGGAGGAGGAGGAGGAGGAGCAGUGCGAGCGUGCCAGCCGCGGGCGCAACUUUCCGCCUCGGCUGAUCUCCACUAGUGCCACAUUGCAGCUGGUGACCGUUUUGUUCCGUUGUUGAGUGUGGGUCGCGGUGGUCGUGCCCUUGUGCGGUGCACAGCUGCUGUCGCGGUCGAGACGGUAAACGCCGGCAUCCCAAACUUUUGUGUGUGUUAGCGUGCCCGGAUCUGGGUUAUUUUACGUGACGGCCGCCAAGUUGACGAGCUUGGUUUAAAAUGUAAGCCUAAAAGCAACGUGGAGUUUCUUUUAAGCAACUGUUUAAAAGAGGGUUGGCUUUUUUUGUUUUUGAAUGUAUAAAGCAAAACAAUAAAUCCUUUUUUUUUUUUUUUUACCGUGUGCUGUGUUUUUUUCUUUUAGUUUAACUUUAGAAGCUCAAACAGCCAUACAGGUUUGGGGGUUUGGGAGUGUGGGGGAGGGUUGGCCUUAGACUUUUAUGUUAAUGCGGUUCUUUAUAUCUGCAUUUUAUUAGAGGAGCACAGAUAAGAGCUGGAAGUAUGACUUCCGAGAGAUUUGAGUUUGAUAUCUAAUGACACAGGAGUUCAAUUCGUGACCUCUAUUAGGAAAAUACGAGUUUUGUGGAGAAAGUGUAGUUUGGGGUAAUUUAUGAAAACUACCCUGCAGUCUAUGUGGACGAUACUGGUAUUCAAAAUCGUAUUUUCUCCGAGGGGAGGAGUUAUGAUGGGUUUCUCUGUGUAGCUUUGGAGCCUGUCCUGGCACUCGAACUAAAUCUUUGAAAAGGGAUGUCUGACUGCUCUAACAGUCCAUCGUGCUCUGGGCAUCCCCUCUACCAGGAAGUGGUUGACGAAUGAGGACCCCGAAGUUGGACAACCUGGGACACCAUCAUCUUUGUCUCCUUCCCUCCACUCCCCUCUGCCCCGUCCCGCGGGGCUCGGUAAUUCGUGAGUCUGAGGUGGAUCACGCCUGCAAAUAAUGGGCGGGAAAGAAAAAGCGGGACCAAGCAGAUUUCUUGUCAAGGCCAUUUAUUAUUACAAGGGGUUUUUAUAGAGAAAGGAGGAAGCAGAGAAAAAGGAGGUGGGGGAGGGAUGAAUGUUAGUUGCUUUCAGGCAGGUAUCGGGAAUCUCCUGUGUUAAGGAAGUGGGGGAAGGGAUAGGUGUUAGUUGCUUCUCAGGCCAGGUCCCUGAAAGAAAGGGAUGGGAUGCUAGACUAUCUGGCGGCUAGCUAGGCAUGGGGAGUCGCCAAGGCUGGCUUCUGACACCCCUCCAGUCCUCUCAACUCUCCUCUCCAUUCUCAAGUUCCACCCCUGCCAGCCAGCAUGACUUGUUCUGUCUUUGUCAACCCCUCACACCCUUCGUGAACCAGUGCAGAGACCAACACAUGGGGGGAAUGUUCCUGGCUUAUACACAUUUCUAAGUGCUGCAUUAUCUACCUACCAUGGGGCGCACAUCUAGGACAUGGGAAAUAGGACAUCUGUGCCCUGAGCACAUAAUGUGUCUGGUGAUCCAAACAGGUCCCUGUCCAACUCCACAUCCAUUUUGUUGCUCUGGAAGAUAGCCUCUGUGCUUUCUGCUCCACCAUUUUUUUCCCCCAUCAGAAGACUAAAUGGGCCACCUUCACUUCCACUUGGACAGCGUUUGAGGAUGCCAGUCAGCACUGACAGGCAGCCCUCUCCCCUACUGAGCCAAUUCCACCAGCAAGAUUGCACUUGCCCACCUUGAUGAGUGGCAGGACAAUUACCGAUGGCCUUCCAGACCCAUUUCCAAGCUUCCGUAACCUGGCAAUAAAUGAAAUGCACAACCUUCUGGCUCAAUGGCGUUUAAGGCAACCACUCAUCAGUUCCGGCAGCAAAAGAAAUUGGAACUCAGAUGCUCCUAGUCCGUUUUUCUGGUUAGAGCUAUAAAUAAAGGAAAUGACUGUGCU
Non-coding RNA from Cricetulus griseus (Chinese hamster), 2014 nucleotides. The record is from RefSeq and is a predicted model, not a curated record. NCBI's taxonomy places the organism in Eukaryota, Metazoa, Chordata, Mammalia, Rodentia, Cricetidae.